This 1356-nucleotide ribosomal RNA is filed under the name uncultured marine eukaryote. Its description in RNAcentral is "SSU rRNA". It matches the Rfam family "Eukaryotic small subunit ribosomal RNA", at positions 411 to 1779 of the family's 1831-position model. The record is from RNAcentral.
CACUUCUAAGGAAGGCAGCAGGCGCGCAAAUUACCCAAUCCUGACUCAGGGAGGUAGUGACAAGAAAUAACAAUAAACCGGCUUAUGCCGGUUUAAUUGGAAUGAGUACAAUUUAAACAUCUUAACGAGGAACAAUUGGAGGGCAAGUCUGGUGCCAGCAGCCGCGGUAAUUCCAGCUCCAAUAGCGUAUACUAAAGUUGUUGCAGUUAAAAAGCUCGUAGUUGGAUUUCUGUGGGGACGGAGCGGCCGGCCGCAACACGCGGUUCGAGCUAGCGCUUUCCCUACAUCCUGCCGCGAACCGUGCUACCAUUAGUUUGGUGGCGCCGGGGAUCGGCUCGAUUACUUUGAGAAAAAUAGAGUGUUCAAAGCAGGCCACACGCCUUGAAUAAGUUAGCAUGGAAUAAUAACCAAGGACUUCGGUUCUAUUUUGUUGGUGUUCGGGACUGAAGUAAUGAUUGAUAGGGACAGUUGGGGCGGUCUGUAUUCCAAAGCGAGAGGUGAAAUUCUUAGACCUUCGGAAGACAAACAACUGCGAAAGCGUUCCGCAAGGAUGUUCCCUUUGAUCAAGAACGAAAGUUGGGGGAUCGAAGACGAUCAGAUACCGUCGUAGUCUCAACUAUAAACUAUACCAGCUAGGGAUCGGCCAACGUUAUUCUAUACCGACUUGGUCGGCACCUUAUGAGAAAUCAAAGCAUCUGGGUUCCGGGGGGAGUAUGGUCGCAAGGCUGAAACUUAAAGGAAUUGACGGAAGGGCACCACCAGCUGUGGAGCCUGUGGCUUAAUUUGACUCAACACGGGAAAACUUACCAGGUCCAGACAUAGUAAGGAUUGACAGAUUGAUAGCUCUUUCUUGAUUCUGUGGGUGGUGGUGCAUGGCCGUUCUUAGUUGGUGGAGUGAUUUGUCUGGUUAAUUCCGUUAACGAACGGGACCCCAGCCUGCUAAAUAGCGCGCGUGAGCUUUGCUCGCGGCGAGCUUCUUAGAGGGACUAUGAUGCGCGAUAGCACAUGGAAGUUUGGGGCAAUAACAGGUCUGUGAUGCCCUUAGAUGUUCUGGGCCGCACACGGGCUACACUGGCGCCUGCAACGAGCAUAUCAGCUGGCCCGAGAGGGUCUUGGCUAAUCUUUUGAACCGGCGCCGUGCUUGGGAUUGACCUUUGCAAUUGUUGGUCAUGCAACGAGGAAUGCCUUGUAAACGCGAGUCAUCAGCUCGCAUUGAAUACGUCCCUGCCCUUUGUACACACCGCCCGUCGCUCCUACCGAUGAAUGUUCCGAUGAAAUUUUCGGAGAGCACCUGUGAACUUGGCUCUGCCUUGCGAACGGGAGGCUCAAAGUCACUUAAAUCUGAACAUUUCGAGG